Molecule: long non-coding RNA, 219 nt
Filed under: Amborella trichopoda
Lineage: Eukaryota; Viridiplantae; Streptophyta; Magnoliopsida; Amborellales; Amborellaceae
Description: long non-coding RNA (ATRI_LNC002381)
Source: RNAcentral
AUACUUCCCCUACAGCAUAUAAGAACUAUCCUCCUCCUACCAUCCAGCCAUCUAAUUUUGAUAAAGAGAGCCCCUCACCAUUUGAUCUUAGAUCCGACGUCUCAAAGUAUUUUAUUUUUAGUUUUUUUUUUUUAUACAAAUUGUAUGAAUAUGAAAUUUGGUACGUGCCAUCUUUUCAUUAGGGCGUACCUAUAAAAAAAUAUUAAAAAUAAUUUUUUG